GUUCCUUUAGCGCAAUGGAGAGCGCAUUGGAUUUCUAUUUCAAAGAUCGUGGCUUCGAAUCCCACCUGGGAUG
This is a non-coding RNA of Trichonephila clavata, 73 nucleotides long. The record is from the annotation of a GenBank genome assembly. Lineage: Eukaryota; Metazoa; Arthropoda; Arachnida; Araneae; Nephilidae.